RNA transcript from Magnolia sinica, 3315 nucleotides. It is a transcript of the gene named probable L-type lectin-domain containing receptor kinase S.7, with no coding region annotated. Lineage: Eukaryota; Viridiplantae; Streptophyta; Magnoliopsida; Magnoliales; Magnoliaceae. The record is from RefSeq and is a predicted model, not a curated record. The transcript is spliced from 3 exons.
UAAUUUUCAAACGCCACGCGCCGACUUCGUACCGUUAAAACCCCAUAUUUCUAACCCAAACCCUAUCAUCUUUCCCAUUUCCACCUUUUCUUUUCUCUUUUCUCUUCGAUCUUGCCAACUUCAACCCAGCUUCUUGUAAAACCUCUGCUAACUUCAACCUUCUUUCUCCUCGUGAAUUCACAUCUUGCUAAUCUUAACCUCAUCUAUUGAAGAUUCUUGCUAACUUCCACCCCAUUUCUUGGAAGAGGAAAGAGGACAAUCUCUCUCUCUACUUCCGUCUUCGAAUCUUGCCAAUUUCAACCCAUUUUCUUGAAAAUUCUGUCUGAUUUCAAUCCAAUUUCUUGAAAAAUCUUGUUAAUUUCAACCCCCAUUUUUGUUUUUGUUAAUUUAAAUCCGACAUAAACCUAUUCUCUUCAUGAAUUCGCCUCCUGACUUUCAUUCUCUUGAAAAUCCUUGCUAACUUCAUCAUCCCCACCAUGAUGGUGCCUCUUCCUCUAAGAAUCCUCCUCCUCUUCUCUCUCUUCACUGUGUUUAAUCUCUCCUUCCCUCUGCCUGCAUCUGCCAAAAACCAAAGCUUCGAUUUCCCGCUUUUCAACCUCCGGAACUUCACUCUCCUCGGCGACUCCUAUCUCCGGAAUGGCGCCGUCGGCCUCACUCGGGAACUCAGUGUCCCCACCUCUAGCGCUGGCACCAUCAUCUACAACACCCCCAUCACCUUCUUCGAUCCUGAAACCAAUAUCUCCGCCUCCUUCUCGACGAAGUUCUCCUUCACAAUCUCAAAUGUCAACCCUGAAUCCUACGGCGAUGGGCUCACGUUCUUCCUCUCGACCGACAAUGUCACCCUCGGAAGCCCCGGCAGCUAUUUGGGUCUCUUCAACUCCUCGAACCCAACCAAGAACAAGAUCAUCGCCAUUGAAUUUGACACCCGUUUGGACAGCCAAUUCAAUGAUCCGAAUUCGAACCACAUUGGGUUGGAUGUUGGCAGCCAGGGCCUCAUAUCUAUCAAGACUGCCGAUGCUAACUUGUCAGGGAUUGACCUCAAGAGUGGGAAUCUGAUCACAGCAUGGAUUGAUUACAAGAAUGAUCAGAAGAGGCUGAUGGUCUGGUUGAGCUACUCGAGCUUCAAGCCUGAGAAGCCACUCCUGUCUGUGAAAUUCAACCUCUCGAAGGAUUUCAACGAUAUCAUGUAUGCUGGUUUUUCAGGGUCCACAGAAGGGAGCACUGAGCUCCACCUGAUCGAGGAGUGGAGCUUUAGGACAUUCGGAUUCAGGCCCUCAAACUCUCAGUCUCAGCCUCGCAAUGUAUCAGACAGCUCAGGGAGGAUAAUCCCGGUAACCCCCGUAGUCCCUGCUUCAAAUUCUACCCACAAGUUCCACAGGACGCUCGCGUUAGGCCUCGGAAUCACAGGCGGGUUGAUUGUAUUCUGCGCAAUCUUGAUCGUCUUCGGCUGGGUUUCAGCUAAGAAAUGGAAGCCAAUCAGGACGGGCAAGAGCUUCAGGUCGGAGAUCAUGAAGGGCCCACGACCGUUCACCUAUAGAAUAUUGAGAGACUCCACAAAAGGAUUCCAUUCGAGCCGGAUCUUGGGCCAUGGCGCAUUUGGGACUGUUUACAAGGCCGUGCUUCUGGAAUCUGGCCUCACUUUUGCUGUGAAGAGAUCGAAACAUACCCACAACAGUAAAACCGAAUUCCUCGCUGAACUGUCAACAAUAGCUUGUUUGAGACACAAGAAUCUAGUUCAGCUCGAAGGCUGGUGCUCUGAGAAGGGCGAAUUGUUGCUUGUCUAUGAAUACAUGCCGAAUGGGAGCCUUGACAAGGUCCUAUAUGAAGAAUCCGAGGCGGGGACCACGCUGAAAUGGGCCCACAGGUACAAGAUCGUGGUUGGGAUCGCCUCUGUUCUAAUGUAUCUACAUGAAGAAUGCGAGCAGCAAGUCAUUCACAGAGACAUAAAGACCAGCAAUAUAAUGCUCGAUGCAAAUUUGAAUGCAAGGUUGGGCGAUUUUGGGCUGGCCCGGCUGACAGACCACAACAAGAGCCCUGUCUCAACUCUUACCGCUGGGACAAUGGGCUACCUCGCACCUGAGUAUCUCCAGUAUGGGAAAGCAACUGAAAAGACAGAUGUUUUUAGCUUUGGGGUCGUCAUGCUUGAAGUUGCUUGUGGAAGGCGGCCCAUUGAGAAAGAUGCCCGCAGUCAGAAGAUCAAUUUGGUUGAUUGGGUGUGGGGUUUGUAUGCGGAAGACAGGAUCAUCGAAGCUGCGGACUCGAGAUUGAAAGGCGAGUUUGAAAAUGAAGAGAUGAGGCGGUUGUUGCUCGUGGGUCUGAGCUGUGUGAAUCCGGAUUGCACAAAGCGACCCACCAUGAGAAGAGUCUUACAGAUCCUUAAUAAAGAGGCGGAGCUUCAGGUUGUGCCGAAGAGGAAGCCAAGCCUGACAUUUUCUUGCAGCUUGCCUUUGAGCAUAGAGGAUAUUGUUUCGGAUUGUGAAGAAAGCAUGAAAGCCAGCCCCCUGUAUGAGCUGAAAGUCCUUUGAGGUUUGACAAUUGAACAGCUCAUCUGGUGUGCCAUGGGGCCCAUCACAUAGUUCUCUCCGUCUAAUCAGGCCGGUCCACUCAUCAUCAUGUGGACUAAAGGGGCGACUGGCACCCAUAUUCAAGGUGCAUGCGCAGACCGCCUGAAGAAGUGGACUGGCCUGAUUGUUGGGCAAGGGCAUUGACAUGGUUGGCUCACCUAAUGAAUAGCUCGUAUGUCACACAAAUACACACAUUCGCAGUUCACCCACUUGUGGGCGUGUAUGUGUGAUUAGCUAGCCUCUUAUCAGUAUGCUGAUAUGGAUGUUCUUUUCCCUCAAAAUGAUGAAAAUCCAUUAGCCAUUGAUGGUCAAGUACUAAAACUUCUUUGCUAUUCAACUGAGAUGCUACAGCAGAAGCUUGUUCAUCGUUUGUGACGUCCAGCAUAUCAAAGAGAUCCAGCCGAAUGCUGUCAUCGGGAGUGAAAAGACAGCCGUUGCACCCCUCAUAUUGAAUUCCCAUGUAUAUGCACCCGUGUGAAGAAUUCAUCAUCUCAGCUCUAGACUGUAUAUCUACUUUAUCUAUGCUCAUUUCUGAAUUCAUACUGUGAGGAUUUUGGAUGACAUUUAUCGUAUAUGAGUGUCUAUGUGUUUAGCAGUUGUAAUGGGAAUAAGCUCUGAUAAUGGCAUACGUCGUGUUUUGUUUUUAAUCGUUUUGUUAUUGGAUUCAUUGUAGUUGUAUAUCAGAUUGAAUUGUAUUCUUCCUGUCAGUUCAUGUUUGGCACUAUUUAUACAGAUGAAUUAUAUGCUCAAA